ACAUGCAGUCGAGGGGCAUCAGGAAGAAAGCUUGCUUUCUUUGCUGGCGACCGGCGCACGGGUGAGUAACACGUAUCCAACCUGCCCUUUACUCGGGGAUAGCCUUUCGAAAGAAAGAUUAAUACCCGAUAGCAUAAUGAUUCCGCAUGGUUUCAUUAUUAAAGGAUUCCGGUAAAGGAUGGGGAUGCGUUCCAUUAGGUUGUUGGUGAGGUAACGGCCCACCAAGCCUUCGAUGGAUAGGGGUUCUGAGAGGAAGGUCCCCCACAUUGGAACUGAGACACGGUCCAAACUCCUACGGGAGGCAGCAGUGAGGAAUAUUGGUCAAUGGGCGUUAGCCUGAACCAGCCAAGUAGCGUGAAGGAUGAAGGCUCUAUGGGUCGUAAACUUCUUUUAUAUAAGAAUAAAGUGCAGUAUGUAUACUGUUUUGUAUGUAUUAUAUGAAUAAGGAUCGGCUAACUCCGUGCCAGCAGCCGCGGUAAUACGGAGGAUCCGAGCGUUAUCCGGAUUUAUUGGGUUUAAAGGGAGCGUAGGUGGACUGGUAAGUCAGUUGUGAAAGUUUGCGGCUCAACCGUAAAAUUGCAGUUGAUACUGUCAGUCUUGAGUACAGUAGAGGUGGGCGGAAUUCGUGGUGUAGCGGUGAAAUGCUUAGAUAUCACGAAGAACUCCGAUUGCGAAGGCAGCUCACUGGACUGCAACUGACACUGAUGCUCGAAAGUGUGGGUAUCAAACAGGAUUAGAUACCCUGGUAGUCCACACAGUAAACGAUGAAUACUCGCUGUUUGCGAUAUACAGUAAGCGGCCAAGCGAAAGCAUUAAGUAUUCCACCUGGG
Molecule: ribosomal RNA, 830 nt
Filed under: uncultured bacterium
Lineage: Bacteria
Description: bacterial SSU rRNA
Rfam family: Bacterial small subunit ribosomal RNA
Source: RNAcentral